RNAcentral lists this ribosomal RNA (302 nucleotides) under uncultured bacterium. RNAcentral's name for it is "partial 16S ribosomal RNA". It matches the Rfam family "Bacterial small subunit ribosomal RNA", at positions 508 to 807 of the family's 1533-position model. The record is from RNAcentral.
GCAGUCGCCACGGUAAUACAGAGGGUGCAAGCGUUAAUCGGAUUUACUGGGCGUAAAGGGCGCGUAGGUGGUUAUUUAAGUGAGAUGUGAAAUCCCCGGGCUUAACCUGGGAACUGCAUCUUAUACUGGGUAACUGGAGUGCAGUAGAGGGUAGUGGAAUUUCCGGUGUAGCGGUGAAAUGCGUAGAUAUCGGAAGGAACACCAGUGGCGAAGGCGGCUACCUGGACUGAGACUGACACUGAGGCGCGAGAGCGUGGGGAGCAAACAGGAUUAGAUACCCCCGUAGUCCCUGUCUCUUAUAC